This is a non-coding RNA of Camellia sinensis, 868 nucleotides long. NCBI's taxonomy places the organism in Eukaryota, Viridiplantae, Streptophyta, Magnoliopsida, Ericales, Theaceae. The record is from RefSeq and is a predicted model, not a curated record.
UUUUGUGUUUGAAGAUUAUAAAGUCCUAUUUAUUGUGAACAGAGGAUGGUUAGUGAUUUUUAUAUAUUGCCAGCUAAAUCAGUCAUUCCUUCAGAGAAUGAAUGGUUCUUCUUUUCUUCUCGUGGAAGGAAGUACCCAAAUGGCUCACAAAGUAAGAGAGCAACUGAAUCUGGCUAUUGGAAAGCCACUGGGAAAGAACGAAAUGUGAAGUUAGGAUCUAAUUUGAUUGGCACAAAAAGGACACUGGUGUUCCACACAGGUCGUGCACCAAAAGGGGAGUGGACAAAAUAGAUAAUGCAUGAGUAUUGUAUGAAUGGAAAUCCUCAGCAGCAAAGAGUAGACACAAAUAUUGCAGAUGGCUGUGAUGCUCUGAAUCUGGGUGUGGCUGCUGAUAGCCUUUGGUUGUUUUUAUUUGUGGUGUUUGGCUUGGGGUUUGAUCUUGUAGUUGAAGGUUGGUAAUGGCAAAGAUUGCAUACCUCGUAAUGGACAAUGGAAUUUUAACAAGCAACUCUUCACCCCCAUCCAAAUAGAACGGUGGGAAGUUGUCAACUUCUCUGCUCAUUGUGAUACAAGUCAUCUUUCCCGAGAACUUAUUAACUGUGGAAGGAACAAGGGCCUUGAUGUGCUCUUUCAAGUUCAUUGGUUGACAGCGAUGCUAACCAAUUUCUUAUUCUCUAUGGCAAGAGACUCCAUGUGAGCUACUAAGCAGAUUCUGACGCUGUAUCUACUGAAUGGGAAGUUGAGAGUGAUGAUGAAAGUGAGGAAGAAUCUGAAUGUGGGUUAACAACUUUGGUUGACAUGCCUCUUAACAUUUUUCCAUCUAUAGUUUCUAAAGAAACUUUUGAACUCAAGGUAUGGAUGGUUGAAC